UACGUAGGGGGCAAGCGUUGUCCGGAUUUAUGGGGCGUAAAGAGCGUGUAGGCGGUUCGGUAGGUCCGUUGUGAAAACUCGAGGCUCAACCUCGAGACGCCGAUGGAAACCCUCGAACUAGAGUCCGGAAGAGGAGAAUGGAAUUCCUGGUGUAGCGGUGAAAUGCGCAGAUAUCAGGAAGAACACCCGUGGCUAAGGCGGUUCUCUAGUACGGUACUGACGCUGAGACGCGAAAGCGUGGGGAGCGAACAGG
Molecule: ribosomal RNA, 253 nt
Filed under: uncultured bacterium
Lineage: Bacteria
Description: partial 16S ribosomal RNA
Rfam family: Bacterial small subunit ribosomal RNA
Source: RNAcentral